This 244-nucleotide long non-coding RNA is filed under the name Gallus gallus (chicken). Lineage: Eukaryota; Metazoa; Chordata; Aves; Galliformes; Phasianidae. The record is from RNAcentral.
GAGGUAACCGUGGUGGUGGUGGCCUCGGUGGAACAUGAGAUGCAGACUUUGCUGGGCUGUCUGAUACUGGGCAUCUCUUGAUUGUCCCUUGAUUAUCAUUUUCAGAAGAAUGAGUUUCUUGCGGGAUAAAGAUGGAUUUAGGCUUUGGUGGUAAAGGAGGUGGCACUUUAGGUUUCAUAGUGGCAUGUUUAGCAUCGUCAUCUGCAUCAUCAUCAUCAUCUUCUAAAUGUGCCACAUGUCCCCG